CCAGGGGGCCGGGCAGCCGCGUCAGUUCUUUCGGGAACUGCCGAGGAAAGUCCGGGCUCCACGAAACAAGGGUGGCGGGUAACGCCCGCCGGGCGAGGAUUUUCGGAUCCGGACCAAGGGAAAGUGCCACAGAGAGCAAACCGCCGAUGGCCUGCGUUUCGGCGCAGGGACAGGCAAGGGUGAAAGGGUGCGGCAAGAGCGCACCGGGGGGCCGGCAACGGCAACCGCAAGGCAAACCCCACCCGGAGCAAAACCGAAUAGGGGCGGCACGUUCCGGAUUUAUCCGGGACAGGCGGGUUUCGCGCCAGUCGCCCGGGUUGGUUGCUAGAGCGGCCAGGCAAUUGGUCGCCAAGAUGAAUGGCUGCCACCGCAGAUACGGUCCCGCAUAGGAUACCGUCUGCGGUACAGAACCCGGCUUACAGGCCCCCUGGCAUU
This 435-nucleotide RNase P RNA is filed under the name Croceibacterium xixiisoli. Its description in RNAcentral is "Bacterial RNase P class A". It matches the Rfam family "Bacterial RNase P class A". Rfam says of the family: Ribonuclease P (RNase P) is a ubiquitous endoribonuclease, found in archaea, bacteria and eukarya as well as chloroplasts and mitochondria. Its best characterised activity is the generation of mature 5'-ends of tRNAs by cleaving the 5'-leader elements of precursor-tRNAs. Lineage: Bacteria; Pseudomonadati; Pseudomonadota; Alphaproteobacteria; Sphingomonadales; Erythrobacteraceae. The record is from Rfam by way of RNAcentral.